AGGAUAGAGGCCUACCAUGGUUUUAACGGGUAACGGGGAAUUAGGGUUCGAUUCCGGAGAGGGAGCCUGAGAAACGGCUACCACAUCCAAGGAAGGCAGCAGGCGCGCAAAUUACCCAAUCCCGACACGGGGAGGUAGUGACAAUAAAUAACAAUACGGGGCUCAUUUGGGUCUCGUAAUUGGAAUGAGUACAAUUUAAAUCUCUUAACGAGGAACAAUUGGAGGGCAAGUCUGGUGCCAGCAGCCGCGGUAAUUCCAGCUCCAAUAGCGUAUAUUAAAGUUGUUGCAGUUAAAAAGCUCGUAGUUGAACUUCGGGGUUUACCCAUUGGUCAGGCUUAAUUGUCUGUACUGGUGAGAUAAAUCUCUACCUUCUGAGGAACUUUCAUGUCAUUAAUUUGGUGUGAUUGGAAAUCAGGACUGUUACUUUGAAAAAAUUAGAGUGUUUAAAGCAGGCUAACGUCUGAAUACAUUAGCAUGGAAUAAUGAAAUAGGACGGAUUGAUUCUAUUUCGUUGGUUUCUAGGAUCACCGUAAUGAUUAAUAGGGAUAGUUGGGGGCAUUAGUAUUCAAUUGUCAGAGGUGAAGUUCUUGGAUUUAUUGAAGACUAACUACUGCGAAAGCAUUUGCCAAGGAUGUUUUCAUUAAUCAAGAACGAAAGUUAGGGGAUCGAAGACGAUCAGAUACCGUCGUAGUCUUAACCAUAAACUAUGCCGACUAGGGAUCGGACGAAG
RNAcentral lists this ribosomal RNA (730 nucleotides) under uncultured fungus. RNAcentral describes it as "SSU rRNA". It matches the Rfam family "Eukaryotic small subunit ribosomal RNA", at positions 330 to 1062 of the family's 1831-position model. The record is from RNAcentral. Lineage: Eukaryota; Fungi.